GUUGAGAGGAAUGACGUCUGGUCUGAAGGCGCGCGGCGCGGCGGCUUCGGACCAGGCUUCAUUCCCCAUGAC
RNAcentral lists this microRNA precursor (72 nucleotides) under Oryza brachyantha (malo sina). Its description in RNAcentral is "pre miRNA mir-166". Lineage: Eukaryota; Viridiplantae; Streptophyta; Magnoliopsida; Poales; Poaceae. The record is from RNAcentral.